Unclassified non-coding RNA from Erinaceus europaeus (western European hedgehog), 310 nucleotides. Its record names the gene 7SK. It matches the Rfam family "7SK RNA". Rfam says of the family: 7SK was discovered as an abundant small nuclear RNA in the mid-70s but a possible function has only recently been suggested. Lineage: Eukaryota; Metazoa; Chordata; Mammalia; Eulipotyphla; Erinaceidae. The record is from Ensembl.
GGAUGUGAGGGCAAUCUGGACAUCUGUCACCCCAUUGAUUGCCAGGGUUGAUUCAGCUGAUCUGGCCGGCUAGGUGGGUGUCCCUGUCUUCCCUCACUGCUCCAUGUGUGUCCCUCCCGAAGCUGUGCGCUCCAUCAAAAAAGGAUGGCCUUCCCCGAAUAGAGACUGACUGGUCUUCAGUCAAGGGUAUACAAGUAGUUGUGCUUCCCUGCUAGAAUCUCCAAACAAGCUCUCAAGAUUCUUGUUUUAGUAGGUAAUAAAUAUAUUUUAGCUUUAAAAAAUUAUAAAUUUUAAAGAUGUGAAAUAAUUU